GCCUGGAUGGCUCAGGUGGUUGAGCAUGUGACUCUCGAUCUCAGGGUCGUGGGAUCGAGCCCCACUUUGGGCU
This is a non-coding RNA of Lutra lutra (Eurasian river otter), 73 nucleotides long. The record is from the annotation of a RefSeq genome assembly. Lineage: Eukaryota; Metazoa; Chordata; Mammalia; Carnivora; Mustelidae.